Molecule: ribosomal RNA, 696 nt
Filed under: uncultured bacterium
Lineage: Bacteria
Description: bacterial SSU rRNA
Rfam family: Bacterial small subunit ribosomal RNA
Source: RNAcentral
AACGCUAGCUACAGGCUUAACACAUGCAAGUCGAGGGGAAACGACAUCGAAAGCUUGCUUUUGAUGGGCGUCGACCGGCGCACGGGUGAGUAACGCGUAUCCAACCUGCCCACCACUUGGGGAUAACCUUGCGAAAGUAAGACUAAUACCCAAUGAUAUCUCUAGAAGGCAUCUGAAAGAGAUUAAAGAUUUAUCGGUGAUGGAUGGGGAUGCGUCUGAUUAGCUUGUUGGCGGGGUAACGGCCCACCAAGGCAACGAUCAGUAGGGGUUCUGAGAGGAAGGUCCCCCACAUUGGAACUGAGACACGGUCCAAACUCCUACGGGAGGCAGCAGUGAGGAAUAUUGGUCAAUGGGCGAGAGCCUGAACCAGCCAAGUAGCGUGCAGGAAGGCGGCCCCAUGGGUUGUAAACUGCUUUUAUAAGGGAAUAAAGUGAGAGUCGUGACUCUUUUUGCAUGUACCUUAUGAAUAAGGACCGGCUAAUUCCGUGCCAGCAGCCGCGGUAAUACGGAAGGUUCGGGCGUUAUCCGGAUUUAUUGGGUUUAAAGGGAGCGUAGGCCGGAGAUUAAGCGUGUUGUGGAAUGUAGACGCUCAACGUCUGCACUGCAGCGCGAACUGGUUUCCUUGAGUACGCACAAAGUGGGCGGAAUUCGUGGUGUAGCGGUGAAAUGCUUAGAUAUCACGAAGAACUCCGAUUG